Long non-coding RNA from Vidua chalybeata, 551 nucleotides. RefSeq lists it as uncharacterized. The record is from RefSeq and is a predicted model, not a curated record. Lineage: Eukaryota; Metazoa; Chordata; Aves; Passeriformes; Viduidae. The transcript has 4 exons.
CUCCCACGUCUCUUCCCUGCCAUCCAUCACCGCCUGCCGCUGUCACUUCGCCACCGCGGCUGUCACGCGGCUGUGACUGAGAACAACCUACAGAUAUGAAAGAUGGACACAUCCAAAUUUGAUCUAGAUGCCCACAUAAAGUAUUGAGCUGGGUAAAAUUUCUGAAUACUAUGAUCAACUAUCACCUCUUAUAAAACAAUGGCAGGAAUAAAAAGGCAGCACAAAGGAAUAACCUACUCACUAUUUUGCAGUUGUGGUGAAUUGCAGGUUUUUAGGCAGAUCACAAGAUAACAAGAUCGACGUGAGGUCAUCCAUCUCCCACACUACUCUGGGAGAAUGAGCUAUUUGACCAUGAAAACAGUUUCUCUGCCACCACCGUCAUGAGAGUUAACUUUCCUGAUGCCACAAGUUUUGCUGAGCAACAAAAGAGUAGCUUUAUGCACACUUGAGAAAAACAAGUGGAACUGUGAUGUUAUGACACCUACCACUUGCUCAAAAUGCAUGAAUGCAAAAUACAAAGCAACGUUAACUGAAGGUGCAAGUGUUCCGUA